RNAcentral lists this ribosomal RNA (852 nucleotides) under Triticum aestivum (bread wheat). Its description in RNAcentral is "partial small subunit ribosomal RNA". The record is from RNAcentral. Lineage: Eukaryota; Viridiplantae; Streptophyta; Magnoliopsida; Poales; Poaceae.
AUGGCGGAGACGGUGCUAAGCAUGGCGAGGUCCAUGCUGGGGGGUGCCAUCAGCACGGCCGCCUCUGCCGCGGCCGCCGAGCUGAGCUUGGUGAUGGGUGUGCAGAAGGAUAUUUGGUUCAUCAAAGACGAGCUAGAGACAAUGCAUGCAUUCCUGGUGGCCGCUGAAGCAAUGAAGGAAAAGGACAUGCUACUUAAGGUGUGGGCGAGGCAAGUAAGGGACCUAUCCUAUAAUAUUGAAGAUUGCCUUGGUGAAUUCAUGUUGCAUGUGGCAAGCCAAAGUUUGUCGCAGAAACUGAUGAAACUCAAAGAUCGUCAUCGAAUCGCCAUGCAAAUCCGUGAUCUCAAAUCGAGAGUUGAAGAAGUGAGCAGCAGGAAUACACGCUACAACCUAAUUGAGAAGAACCAAAUCACCAGAACCAUCGAUGAAAGGUAUUCUUGCAUGGAAGAUAUCCGCAACCAGUCAGCUAGCAACAUUGAUGAAGCUGAACUUGUGGGGUUUUCCAAGCCCAAACAAGAUUUGAUAAAACAUAUAGACGUAGGUGCCAACAAUGGCUCUACUCAAGUAGUAUGCGUACUCGGCAUGGGCGGUUUGGGUAAGACUACUCUUGCAAGGAAGGUUUAUGAAAGUAUGAAAGACUUUACAUGUUGUGCUUGGAUCACCGUCUCGCAGUCAUUUGUCAGGAUGGAGCUUCUAAAAGUUAUGAUCAAAGAACUUUUCGGCAAUGAAGCAUUGAAGAAGCAAUUUGAAGGGAAUGUUAUGUUAUGCGAGAAGAGAACCUUGCCAACUACCUCAACAAAGAGCUACUUGAGAAGAGGAGGCAAUGGAGCAAUUCUGCUAGAUGAGGUUUGA